UUCUAGGUCUGGCAAUUGGAAUGAGAACGAUUUAAAUCCCCUAUCGAGGAUCAAUUGGAGGGCAAGUCUGGUGCCAGCAGCCGCGGUAAUUCCAGCUCCAAUAGCGUAUAUUAAAGUUGUUGCUGUUAAAAAGCUCGUAGUUGGAUUUCUGGGAGGGUGCCAAUGUCCGCCGUUGUGCGUGUGCAGCGGCGCCCUUCCAUCCUUCUGUUAACACCUCUUGGCAUUCAUUUGCUGGUGGUGGGCUCAGAUAUUUUACCUUGAGAAAAUUAGAGUGUUUCAGGCAGGCUAGGCCGGAAUACAUUAGCAUGGAAUAAUGGAAUAGGACUACGGUCUCUUUGUUGGUUUGAGGGACUGCAGUAAUGAUUAAUAGGGAUAGUUGGGGGCAUUAGUAUUUAAUUGUCAGAGGUGGGAUUCUCGGAUUUGUUAAAGACUAACUUAUGCGAAAGCAUUUGCCAAGGAUGUUUUCAUUAAUCAAGAACGAAAGUUAGGGGAUCAAAGACGAUCAGAUACCGUCCUAGUCUUAACUAUAAACUAUACCGACUAGGGAUCA
RNAcentral lists this ribosomal RNA (550 nucleotides) under uncultured ciliate. RNAcentral's name for it is "SSU rRNA". It matches the Rfam family "Eukaryotic small subunit ribosomal RNA", at positions 494 to 1055 of the family's 1831-position model. Lineage: Eukaryota; Ciliophora. The record is from RNAcentral.